CCGCCGCCGCCCCUUCUCCCACUACUCAAGAACCCACCGCCUCUGUAUCUUGCCUGUUCCUGGGCGAUUUUGGAAAGGCUAUAUAGAGGAUCACUUUUCCCAUCGAAAAUCAAGAAACUGUGAGUCAAUUUAUUGGAAAAAUCAAAGCACUCCAUCCAUCCAUUCUGGUCAUUUUCUCCAAGAACACCAUAAUGGUGGACGGAGAAAUGAUGGCGAACAAGUCG
RNAcentral lists this long non-coding RNA (224 nucleotides) under Panax ginseng (ginseng). RNAcentral describes it as "long non-coding RNA (PGIN_LNC019248)". The record is from RNAcentral. Lineage: Eukaryota; Viridiplantae; Streptophyta; Magnoliopsida; Apiales; Araliaceae.